This 373-nucleotide ribosomal RNA is filed under the name Methanobacteriota archaeon. RNAcentral describes it as "bacterial SSU rRNA". It matches the Rfam family "Archaeal small subunit ribosomal RNA", at positions 1 to 378 of the family's 1478-position model. The record is from RNAcentral. Lineage: Archaea; Methanobacteriati; Methanobacteriota.
AAAUCUGGUUGAUCCUGCCAGAGGCGACCGCUAUUGGAGUUCGAUUAAGCCAUGCGAGUCGAGAGCUUUCGGAGCUCGGCAUACUGCUCAGUAACACGUGGAUAACCUGCCCUGUGCUCCGGGAUAACCUCGGGAAACUGAGAAUAAUACCGGAUAGUCCACCACGCCUGGAACGGUGGGUGGAUCAAAGGUCACGGCACAGGAUGGGUCUGCGGCGUAUCAGGUUGUAGGGGGUGUAAAGGACCCCCUAGCCAUUGACGCGUACGGGUUGUGGGAGCAAUCGCCCGGAGAUGGAUUCUGAGACACGAAUCCAGACCCUACGGGGUGCAGCAGGCGCGAAAACUUCACACUGCAGGAAACUGUGAUGAGGGAA